AACGAACGCUGGCGGCAGGCUUAACACAUGCAAGUCGAGCGCAUCCUUCGGGGUGAGCGGCGGACGGGUGAGUAACGCGUGGGAACGUGCCCUCUUCUACGGAAUAGCCUCGGGAAACUGAGAGUAAUGCCGUAUACGCCCGCAAGGGGAAAGAUUUAUCGGAGGAGGAUCGGCCCGCGUUGGAUUAGGUAGUUGGUGGGGUAACGGCCUACCAAGCCGACGAUCCAUAGCUGGUUUGAGAGGAUGAUCAGCCACACUGGGACUGAGACACGGCCCAGACCCCUACGGGAGGCAGCGGUGGGGAAUUUUGGAAAAUGGGGGCAACCCUGACCCACCCAUGCCGGGUGAUCGAUGAAGGCCUUGGGUUUGAAAAGAUCUUUCAGCGGGGAAGAAAAUGCGGGUACCAGCAAAAAAAGCCCCGCCUAACUCCGU
This 432-nucleotide ribosomal RNA is filed under the name uncultured bacterium. RNAcentral describes it as "partial 16S ribosomal RNA". It matches the Rfam family "Bacterial small subunit ribosomal RNA", at positions 29 to 506 of the family's 1533-position model. The record is from RNAcentral.